CAGGCUUAACACAUGCAAGUCGAGGGGCAGCAUUUUAGUUUGCUUGCAAACUGAAGAUGGCGACCGGCGCACGGGUGAGUAACACGUAUCCAACCUGCCGAUAACUCCGGAAUAGCCUUUCGAAAGAAAGAUUAAUACCGGAUAGCAUACGAAUAUCGCAUGAUAUUUUUAUUAAAGAAUUUCGGUUAUCGAUGGGGAUGCGUUCCAUUAGUUUGUUGGCGGGGUAACGGCCCACCAAGACUACGAUGGAUAGGGGUUCUGAGAGGAAGGUCCCCCACAUUGGAACUGAGACACGGUCCAAACUCCUACGGGAGGCAGCAGUGAGGAAUAUUGGUCAAUGGGCGAGAGCCUGAACCAGCCAAGUAGCGUGAAGGAUGAAGGCUCUAUGGGUCGUAAACUUCUUUUAUAUGGGAAUAAAGUUUUCCACGUGUGGAAUUUUGUAUGUACCAUAUGAACAAGGAUCGGCUAACUCCGUGCCAGCAGCCGCGGUAAUACGGAGGAUCCGAGCGUUAUCCGGAUUUAUUGGGUUUAAAGGGAGCGUAGGUGGAUUGUUAAGUCAGUUGUGAAAGUUUGCGGCUCAACCGUAAAAUUGCAGUUGAAACUGGCAGUCUUGAGUACAGUAGAGGUGGGCGGAAUUCGUGGUGUAGCGGUGAAAUGCUUAGAUAUCACGAAGAACUCCGAUUGCGAAGGCAGCUCACUAGACUGUCACUGACACUGAUGCUCGAAAGUGUGGGUAUCAAACAGGAUUAGAUACCCUGGUAGUCCACACAGUAAACGAUGAAUACUCGCUGUUUGCGAUAUACAGUAAGCGGCCAAGCGAAAGCAUUAAGUAUUCCACCUGGGGAGUACGCCGGCAACGGUGAGACUCAAAGGAAUUGACGGGGGCCCGCACAAGCGGAGGAACAUGUGGUUUAAUUCGAUGGUACGCGAGGAACCUUACCCGGGCUUAAAUUGCAACAGAAUAUAUUGGAAACAGUAUAGCCGUAAGGCUGUUGUGAAGGUGCUGCAUGGUUGUCGUCAGCUCGUGCCGUGAGGCGUCGGCUUAAGUGCCAUAACGAGCGCAACCCUUAUCUUUAGUUACUAACAGGUCAUGCUGAGGACUCUAGAGAGACUGCCGUCGUAAGAUGUGAGGAAGGUGGGGAUGACGUCAAAUCAGCACGGCCCUUACGUCCGGGGCUACACACGUGUUACAAUGGGGGGUACAGAAGGCGGCUACCUGGUGACAGGAUGCUAAUCCCAAAAACCUCUCUCAGUUCGGAUCGAAGUCUGCAACCCGACUUCGUGAAGCUGGAUUCGCUAGUAAUCGCGCAUCAGCCAUGGCGCGGUGAAUACGUUCCCGGGCCUUGUACACACCGCCCGUCAAGCCAUGAAAGCCGGGGGUACCUGAAGUACGUAACCGCAAGGAGCGUCCUAGGGUAAAACUGGUAAUUG
RNAcentral lists this ribosomal RNA (1431 nucleotides) under uncultured organism. RNAcentral's name for it is "16S ribosomal RNA". It matches the Rfam family "Bacterial small subunit ribosomal RNA". The record is from RNAcentral.